UAAUUGAUGAAUGGGACGGUGACUCAAUCCCGUCUCGUCUGAGGGCGAGAGGCAUAGCGAUGCCGGCGAGAUAUCGUUUCAGUCGUUAUUUUUCUCCAUUGGCGAUCUGAUUGUUGCUCCUCCACAU
Molecule: small nucleolar RNA, 127 nt
Filed under: Erythranthe guttata (spotted monkey flower)
Lineage: Eukaryota; Viridiplantae; Streptophyta; Magnoliopsida; Lamiales; Phrymaceae
Description: Mimulus guttatus (spotted monkey flower) Small nucleolar RNA snoR111
Rfam family: Small nucleolar RNA snoR111
Source: Rfam by way of RNAcentral